Molecule: long non-coding RNA, 593 nt
Organism: Physeter macrocephalus (sperm whale)
Lineage: Eukaryota; Metazoa; Chordata; Mammalia; Artiodactyla; Physeteridae
Exons: 3
Source: RefSeq, a predicted model, not a curated record
UGCUAUAGCCAACAGGAUGCAAGCAGAGUUCCAGACACAAGCUCCUGGGAGCCCUGCAGUCAUGCAGGAAGACUGACCACCCUGCUGGAGAGACCAUGUGGAGAGGGAAAAGCUCUGAGACCACAUGGAAGAGAAGCCAGGCACCUGGCAGCCAGAGAGCUCUAGUGUAGGCACCAAGCAUCCGCUGGACAUCUUUGACUCGGUGGGCUUCAUCGUCAUGGCCAUCACAGCCAAUACCUACAGCUGGAUUCUCUGCUUCUUUACUUAAAAGCAAAUAGACCAGGGCUUCCCUGGUGGCACAGUGGUUAAGAAUCCACCUGUCAAUGCAGGGGACACGGGUUUGAGCCCUGGUCCAGGAAGAUCCCACAUGCCGCGGAGCAGCUAAGCCCGUGCGCCACAACCACUGAGCCUGCGCUCUAGAGCCUGCGAGCCACAACUACUAUGCCUGAGUUCCACAGCUACUGAAGUCCGCAUGCCUAGAGCCUGUGCUCUGCAACAAGAGAAGCCACCUCAAUGAGAAGCCCGCGCACCGCAGUGAAGAGUAGGCCCUGCUCACCACAGCUAGAGAAAGCCCGCGUGCAACAACGGAGACC